This 253-nucleotide ribosomal RNA is filed under the name uncultured bacterium. Its description in RNAcentral is "partial 16S ribosomal RNA". It matches the Rfam family "Bacterial small subunit ribosomal RNA", at positions 524 to 776 of the family's 1533-position model. The record is from RNAcentral.
CACGGGGGGAGCAAGCGUUGUUCGGAAUUACUGGGCGUAAAGGGCGUGUAGGCGGUCUGGUAAGUGGAAUGUGAAAUGCCCCGGCUCACCCGGGGAUCUGCAUCCCAUACUGCUAGGCUUGAGUUCGGGAGAGGAUGAGGGAAUUCCAGGUGUAGCGGUGAAAUGCGUAGAUAUCUGGAGGAACACCGGUGGCGAAGGCGCUCAUCUGGCCCGAUACUGACGCUGAGGCGCGAAAGCUAGGGGAGCAAACGGG